ACUAAGAAGAUCUCAAUUUUUGUAAAAGCGUGAUAAAAUAUCAUAGACUAUAGUUUUAAUCUCAGUUAUAAAAAAAACUGAGAUGGAAAGAUUUUUUAAUGUUGGUAAUUUAAAAAGUGAGAUUGUAACUUAAAAAAUAGAUCUCGUUUUUAAAAUACUGAGAUUGUUUAUAAAAGAAUAUAUCUCAUUUUAUAAAAACCAAGAUAAAAAGAACUUUUAAUCUUAGUCAUUAAAAACUGAGAUUGUAAGAAUAUAAAUAAUAAUAAUAAUAAUCUCAUUCUCGUUCGUCUAAAUAAACGUGUGGGAGUCUCAGGACCCAAUUCUCAUUCGUGUCAACCAGGUAUUUCCUCAUUGAAGACGAUUUUUGCGUCGAAGAAGCGGCCACUGUGCGAUUUCCUCUCUCUCUCUCGAUCACCACGUAUUUCAUCUCCCCUCUCUCUCUCUCGAUCGAUAGUUAUACACACGCACAAGCACAUAGGGCCAUCGUUCAAUAUCUAUGGGUUAAACCCUAAUUGUGUAUAGAAAAAUGUAUUGUUUGGUUUCUCUCUCUCUUCUCUCGAUUCGUCACUUUUUCGAUCUAAGGUUUAGGGUGAAAAUUCGGCUCCUGUUGUACAUUAAUUUCUCAUGCAUGUGCCUUUCUCUCUAUAUGGAUAUGUAGGGUUUUGAGGGUUUAACACUAGGUUUGGAUAAUUUUGUGUCGUUGUAUGAACCCUGAACUUCAUAUUCAAUGUGAGAGAAACAAGAGGUCUUGUAUGUUUGGGAACUUUCUUCUAAAGCAUUCAAUUUAUCAUGAAUUUCUGCCUCACCAUUCACUUUCCAUACACAAGGAGACAUAUGUGUUGUAUAGUCUCAUGAACAUAUUUAUGAAGGAAGAAGCCAUAGCCUAGGGUACUAUUGAUGCAAUUGGAUUGAUCACCGACUAUGUUUCAGGUUUGUGGAUCAAAAAGCUCUGUUUUAUAAUCGGCUUUUGGUCUGAUAUACUGUUAGAAGAAGAUUUACGAGUGUUGUAGGCUUAUAUUGUAUAAACUACUGGAUUGGCCUCCUAGAUUUUCUAGUUCAGUUAGUUUAAGGAGACAUGGUUUGGUGUAAAAGUGGUUCUUUGGUGGUUCUUGUUUGGUGAAAUUUGUUAUGGGUGGAUGUUUAGCUAAGGAUUUUGUUCAGAUGAAUAAUGUCUGCAUUUAGUACGAGACUUUUGCCUUGCCCUCUAAGUGUUUGUUUAAAUAACUCACCCAAAACUUUGUAUUGCUAUACAGAGAUCUUCUGCUUGUUAAUUACCUGGAAAGCUUGGGAAAUGUGAUUAAUAGUUGCGGUAUGGUCUUGGAGCUCUAACUUGUGAUGGUAGUUUUUCUUGUUUGCUGAGUAUUGAACUCAUUUUGAGCUCUUACUGUUUUUCUAAUUAGGUUUUUUUUUUUGGUUUGUUAGCACGUUUUCUUUUCUUAUAUGAAAUAGUAAUUCCCUGGAGUUUUAUGAUAGUCUAGAUCGUCGAUGGGCCUGGAGUGUAAAGCUAAUUAAUUUCUUGGUAAAUGGAGAAGAAUGAGUGAUGCUGAACAGGACGAGAAAUUUUGGGGUAAGAGAACUACGCUAUCAGAAUUUACAUCGGUCAUUCACGUUUAUACUUUUGGUAAUUUCCUCUUACUUCUAAUGCUUUCUUUAUGGUCAAAGCCACUUAAGUCACAUAGAUGUUCUAAUAUAUGAUAAAAUUGGUUUGCUAUACGCAAGGUUGGACUUAGGAUCUCUCAAAGUCUUCACAUUAUAGCAGUUCCAACUCUUUUGAGAGCUUUUCAAAUGAUUGUCCUAUCGUGGUCAAUUGCUCGGCCAAAACAGGCCUUCACGUGUUAGCAAACACUGCAUCGAGGCCAUGGGAUUCACUGUUGUUUACUUUUUGCCUGAUAGUGAAGAGGAUUUUGUAUCGCACACUGAGUUUUUGCAAUAUUUAGGGAAAAACAAGCGGGCUGAGAUAGCCAUAUUUGAUGAAUGGACGGCCUUAUUUUUGGUUCCCCCGUCAAAUUUUCUCUCUAAGGUGCUUAAUGUCACUGGCCCUGAAUGUCUUUAUGGGGUGGUUCUAAAGUCAACACAUCAUAACCCUAGUAGUACAUCCAUGUAGAUAUUAGCUCGUAUCUGCUACUUGAAUUCGAAGAUGAGGUGACCAUCACAAACUAAAGAUUUCUUAUACUGGUGGAGGACAAAAUGAAGGUCUACUACAGGUUUUGGACUUCAUGCCACAAUUUCUGUUUUGUCCCUUGUAGAAAGCAAUCGUUGUGAUAAUACCUUAAGGCCAUUUGGAUCAUAUUUGUUGAGAGUGGAAAAAAGGGAUAGAUAUAUAGUUUGCUGAUACAGUUUGCUGAUACAUUUUCUUUUUCCUCUACAUAUUCUAACAUAUCUGGGCAGAGGUGCAGGAAACAAGCCCUUCAUUUGUAUAAAGAACUUCCCUACAUAUCUUUUCCCUACACAUCUAACCAAAAAAUGCCUUUUAAUGUGCAAGUGAGAUUGCGUAUGAUUUUAGAAGUUGGAUGUUACUAAACCUGCUAUCUAUUCUAAGCUAAGCAUCAUAGAUUCUUUCAUAUUCUGUUUUGUUAUAUGUUGAUAACUUUCUUUUAGUCCUUGUCAGAACAUAGACUUCGAAGUUCAUUGAUCCAUUUCUUAUUGUUUGUUAUUAUUCAGGCAAAUGCAGUAGAUGCCCUUUUGAAGGGAGCUAGUUGUAAGGAUUGUUUGGAGUGAUUGCGCACAUGGGCGUGUCACCCGGAUUAUAUUACUUCUUAGGGUUGUUAUUUUGUAUGUUAUUUUUCAGUUUUCAUUGUAUAGUUUCUACUCUCUUUGUUAGGUUGUGGUUGUACCAAAUGUUUCUAAUUCAAAAUGUACGAUCAAUUUGUCAGCUAAUAUAUAUUUUUGAUUUA
This is an RNA transcript of Rhododendron vialii, 2894 nucleotides long. It is a transcript of the gene named flowering time control protein FPA-like, with no coding region annotated. The record is from RefSeq and is a predicted model, not a curated record. Lineage: Eukaryota; Viridiplantae; Streptophyta; Magnoliopsida; Ericales; Ericaceae. The transcript is spliced from 2 exons.